This is a long non-coding RNA of Puntigrus tetrazona (Sumatra barb), 4988 nucleotides long. RefSeq lists it as uncharacterized. The record is from RefSeq and is a predicted model, not a curated record. The transcript has 3 exons. NCBI's taxonomy places the organism in Eukaryota, Metazoa, Chordata, Actinopteri, Cypriniformes, Cyprinidae.
CCAAAUACACUCAAAAAAAUAUUUUCUCCUAAAUUAGUUUUCCCUCCUAUUUAUAUUUCUUUGAAACAGGAAGCAAUGACUGGAUAAUUUCAUGUUUAUAAUCACCCUGUAGUGCUCAAAACUGUAAAUAUGAAUGGUAAUAUACUUUUACUAAUAAAGAUAUUUUACUAAUUAGAAUUUCUAGGGAUGCAAAUACUUGUGUCCAAUGUGUUUUUGAGAAAAAAAAAACAUUUAUUUCAUAAUGAUAUUUCCCCCCAUUUUAAAUUUGUAUCAUUCAAUGAAAGGUUAGAUUUUUGUGAAUUUUUUAGAUUAAAAAUCGAAAGGAUUAACUGCAGAUACAAUUUUGGAACCUUCUUUGUAAAAUAUUCUAUUACUGCAACAAAUGCUAUGUGAAAAACCAUUCUGCUGAAAGUUGCUGAUGAAGGCUUUGCUUUGCAGAGGAAUUAUUAUUUGUUGUGAAUUUAUUAUUGAAAAUGGUAGUUACCAUUUUGAAUGAAAUAAGUUGUUGUUGUUGACAGUGAUUUUGCAAUAGCUAAAUUUAUUCUACUACUAGACUCACAAACUCUUGCUCUAUGCUUCCUCUACAUUAAUAUUUAUAAAGAAUAAAUAAUGAACUUGAACUUAGUUUAGAUGUUUGAACUUAGUUUGGGGCAAAUAUUAUAUUGAUUAAUCUGGGCAAAACAUCAAACUUCUCAUUUACAACAGAAAUUUUAGGGUAAAUAUGUUUUUCAGAAGUUACUUAAAAAGAAAGUUUUAUCCUGAUAUUUCUGACAUAAUAUAUGAAUAUGACACUCAACGCUACUUAUUAAUUCUCUAAUAUUCUCUCAUAUAAGACAAAAGGAGACACUAAAUGAUCGAUUCAUGAAUGUGGUUCAUUAAUCUGUGACAAACACAGAGUUAUGAAGUUCUCUAACGUCACUAUAAUUUGGACAAAUACCAAUGAUGCACACCAAUAAAGCUCUCUUUAUGCAGUUCUAAAUAAAAACCACAACGUGCCACAACAGAACAGAAUUCCAUUGCAAUGUGGACGAACAUCAUCAAUUAAUAAAGGGCAUUUAGCCUGCUAGAUGCAACUGGGUUUUGACCAUUCAAUUGUACAGAAACCCAUAUAUUUUGAAAUCUUGAUUUUGUCUUUAUUAUUAUUUGUUGCUAGUUAGAUCUUUACAUCAUUGUGACAUCAUUCAAGGAGCUCAUAUGUCAAUUUACAAUAUUUACAAUGUGUAGAAUUGGGCGCGUUCUAUUCUGCCUUUGAAAUAUUUUCCCUCUACAGAUGUUUCCUUCUGUAAUUGCACACAUAAUUCCAACAGGCUUUACUCUUGAUCCUUUUUCAUAGUAUAAAGCGACCUCUAAUGGUGGAAUGCAAAUGCAAAAUGGUAUAAUCUAGUUGUCAUAAGCAUGUUUUCUACACAUUUCUAUUAGAUUUUUGUAAAUGUGGCAUGAAUUGUGCAUCUUGACUGGUAAUAAUGAAGAGAAUAGAUCAACCCAUUAUAAACCAGUUCUCUGAAAUAGCUCUGAAAAGGUUCUGAAAAAGAAAAACUUUAAUGAUCCUUCAAAUCAAUGCAAGGAGAUCUAUUAAUUAUUAAAUCCUUUUUAUUUAUUAACACACUUGUCUUUGAGAAAGUAAUUUUUUUCCUCAAAAACAUGGAAUCAAAAUUUUCAUAUUGUCUAAUUUUACUGUAAUCGGCCCAAUGUGUCUGAAAUGUGAAUUGUUUUUGGAGCGCAAACUUAAAACAAGUGAAAGUGGAUUGCAACAUGGGCAAGCCAAUAAAAUUUAAGGGAAAACUAAUCACAGCUGAUCUAAGGUAUAAUGUUUUUGUCUACAUAGUCAGACAGACUGAUGAAUCGAUUGAUUCUCUUUGUAAAAUGUAUGAAGACCUACUUGUCUUUUUCAAAUGUUUCUAUUCUAAUUUACUCUAGUAUUUUGUACAAGGAGAGAUCAAACCCGUCAGAGUCCAGCUGUGUGUCCAUGAAAAGCAACCAGUCAAUAGGCAAGCCAAUAAAAUUUAAAGGAAGACAAACAUUUUUAUCCUGAAACAACAGAAAUGAAUAUUUCCAAAGUUUACUUUAUCUUUGAUGGUCUGGAUGAGUGUUGUCUUUCUCUGAAUUUACAGAUCAAUGUGAGGUUGUGAUGUAAGUACAUCUGCAACAGUGGAUGUGCUACUGACAAAUCUCAUUGCAGGAAAUCCGCUGCCCUUUGCUCUCAUCUGGAUCACUUCUAGACCAGCAGGAGUUGAUCUCACCCCCUCUGAGUGUAUCCAUCGAGUGACAGAGGUACGAGGCUUCAAUGACCCACAGAAAGAGAAAUACUUCAGAAAGAGACUUCAGUCAUCAAGGAGCCUCCACAUAAUGUUCCACAUCCCAGUGUUCCAUUGGAUCUCAGCCACUGUUCUUGAGGGAAUUUUGGGGAAAUCAUGGAAAGGAAAUGUCCCUAAGACUGUUACUCAAAUGUACACAUACUUCCUGAUCCUUCAGAUAAACAUCAAACAUGAGAAGGACUACGAGAAGAAAGUGAAAGAUGAAGAUCCUCAGGAAACUGACUUUUCAGCAGCUUGUGAAAGGCAGCCUGAUCUUUUAAUAUGAAGACCUGAGAGAGAGUGGCAUUGAUGUGAGAGAAGCAUCCGUGUACUCUGGAUUGUGUACACACAGAUCUUCAGAGGGAAAUUUGGCCUGUCAGAAGAUUAGGGGAAGUUCUUCUGCUUUGUUCAUCUUAGCAUUCAGGAACAUAACAUAAAUGUGUUUGACCAUGUCAGCAAACACAAUUUCUUCUCUAAGUUCUUAAACUGAAUGAAAAAUAGUUAAUUAUCUGACCUACAUCAUGCAGCUCUGGAUGAGGCUUUACAGAGCAAGAAUGGACAUAUGGACCUUUUCCAUUUUCUUCUGGGUCUCUCAAUGGAGUCUAAUCAGACACUUUUACAAGAACUACUGAAACAGACAGGAAGCUGCCCCUACAAUAAAAAGGAAAUAACUAAGUACAUCAAACAGAAGAUCAGGGAGAAUCCCUCUCCAGAGACAUCCAUAAUCUGUUCCACUGUCUAAAUAAACUGGGUGAUGAUUCACUAAUGCAGGAGAUCCAGGCUUAUCUGACAUCUGGAAAAAUAAAUCAAAUUAAUCUCUCUUCUUCACAGUGGUCAGCUCUGGUUUUUGUGUUGCUGACAUCAGAGCAGAAGAUGGAAACAUUUGAUCUAAAAAAUUAAUGGGAACAAAAAUACAGCAGAUGCAGUUCUUCAGAAACUGCUGGCUUUGAUCGAAGAAUCCAAUUGUGUAGGUGUGGUGUCACAGAUAAAGUUUGCUGUUCUGGCUUCAGCAUUGAGCUCAAAGCCCUCACACGUGAGAAAUCUGGAUGUGUUGGAAAUAAGCUACAAGAUGCAGGAGUGAAGCUAAUCUCAGAUGGACUGAUGGAUCCUCACUGUAAACUGGAAAUACAGAAGCUGAGUGAUUAUGGUGUCACGGAUGAAGGUUGUGCUGCUCUGGCUUCAGGUCUAAGAUCAAACCCCUCACACCUGAGAGAACUGAAUCUGUCUGGAAAUAAACUAAGACAUUCAGAAUUGAAACUACUCUCUAAUGGAUUGGAGAACUCUCACUUUAAUCUGGAUAUGCUGUGGUAAAUAGUAGUUCUGACAAAAAAGGCUCAGAUUAAACAUGCCUCACACACACACGAGAGAGUUUUUAGAUUUAUGGUAGCACUUUAUUUUACAAUAUGUGUACUUCCCUGGUACAUACAUGGUAAAUAUCUUGUACCUACCAGCAAAUGAGUGGUAACACAAGGUGCCUGAAGUGUUUGUACGUGGUAACAGAUAAUAAGGUACAUGUAAAACAUGAUGUGCGAAAAGUGCAAAGAGGUACAUAUUUUGAUGAGACUAGGUUGGCUUUAGGUCAGGCAUGUUGGCUGGCCAGUCAAGCACAGUAACAUCAUAGUCAUCAACACACUUAGAAGUAGUUUUGGCACUGUGGGCAAGUGGUAAAGUCCUGCUGGAGAAGGAACCUCUCCGUAAAGCUGGUCAGCAGAUGAAAGCAUAAAUUGCUCCAAAUUCUGUUAGACGGCUGCAUUGAGUUGAUAAAAUACGAAAACACCAGCAGACAUCACAGCAUCCCAAAUCAUCACUGACUUCAGAAAUUAGACUUCAAGCUGCUUGUAGUCUGUCUCUCCAAUCUUUCUGCAGACUCCAGACCUUGAUUUACAAAUGAAAUGCAAAAUGUACUUUUAUUUGAAAAGAGGACUUUGGACCACUAAACAACAGUCCACUUCUUUUUCUCCUUAGCCUGGGUAAGAUGCUUCUGACAUUGUUAAGAAGUGGCUUUGUAGUCCUUUUCCUGAAGAAGUCUGAGCGGAUGACCCUUGAUUCACUUAUUCCAGCUUCCGUCCACUCCCUGUGAAGUUCUCCCAAGCGCUUGCAUGGAUCAAUAUAUAUAUAUUUUUUUGCUUUAAUCAAACAGGGAACAUUAAUAUCCCGACAAAAUCUAAGCACUUAAUCACAUUUAUUCAUCUACUUUGUAGUAGGAUGUAUGCAAAUUUCACACAAUGUUUAAAGACAUUUUAAAUGUUUAUUGUUCAUUCUUGCUUGCUGUUAUACUUGAGUAUGAAAGGAGAAAUUAUAGAUGUAAAUUUGACUGGAUUACUAUUGAUAUUGCUUAUGAUUUACAUUGAUUGAACCAGAGGAAGGACUUCUCCAUAUUUAUUGGUUAAGCAGGUUUCCAGAUUUGCUCUUGCUAAAAGCAGAAGCCUUGAUUAUUAUGCUUCAUUAUUAUCACACCAUUUUCGAGCACUCCGACUGCUCUUUCAUGGUGGAUGAUGAUGCUUUCUCUGACAUUUGCAAGUAAACCUUACUAUACUAAUCUGAACUGGCUGAAACUGAAACUUUCAACUAAACAUGCAAUAAAAAAAAAAUUCAUGCCCCUCCCUUCCCCCACUCUGCAUGUUUCUGAUAAGAAUAAACAAUGGACUUUAACCUAAAAUAUAAGAUACAGGAAGAUAAGAGACAUAAGAACAA